GACGAACGCUGGCGGCGUGCUUAACACAUGCAAGUCGAACGGAAAGGCCCCUUUGGGGGUACUCGAGUGGCGAACGGGUGAGUAACACGUGAGUAACCUGCCCUUGACUUCGGGAUAACUUCAGGAAACUGGGGCUAAUACCGGAUAGGAAUCCUUGCUGCAUGGUGGGGGUUGGAAAGCUUCGGCGGUUUUGGAUGGACUCGCGGCUUAUCAGCUUGUUGGUGGGGUAGUGGCUUACCAAGGCUUUGACGGGUAGCCGGCCUGAGAGGGCGACCGGCCACAUUGGGACUGAGAUACGGCCCAGACGCCUACGGGAGGCAGCAGUGGGGAAGAUUGCACAAGGGGCGGAAGCCGGAUGCAGCAACGCCGCGUGCGGGAUGACGGCCUUCGGGUUGUAAACCGCUUUCAGCAGGGGCGAAGCUUGUGGUGACGGUACCUGCAGAAGAAGCACCGGCUAACUACGUG
RNAcentral lists this ribosomal RNA (465 nucleotides) under uncultured bacterium. RNAcentral's name for it is "partial 16S ribosomal RNA". It matches the Rfam family "Bacterial small subunit ribosomal RNA", at positions 28 to 507 of the family's 1533-position model. The record is from RNAcentral.